CUCGUAGCUCAGCUGGUAGAGCGUGUGCUAUACCAAAGCGCANAGCGCAGGCCGCACCCAUGCGUGGGUUCGAAUCCCACCGAG
RNAcentral lists this transfer RNA (84 nucleotides) under Echinostoma caproni. It matches the Rfam family "tRNA". From Rfam's summary of the family: Transfer RNA (tRNA) molecules are approximately 80 nucleotides in length. Their secondary structure includes four short double-helical elements and three loops (D, anti-codon, and T loops). Further hydrogen bonds mediate the characteristic L-shaped molecular structure. tRNAs have two regions of fundamental functional importance: the anti-codon, which is responsible for specific mRNA codon recognition, and the 3' end, to which the tRNAs corresponding amino acid is attached (by aminoacyl-tRNA synthetases). tRNAs cope with the degeneracy of the genetic code in two manners: having more than one tRNA (with a specific anti-codon) for a particular amino acid; and 'wobble' base-pairing, i.e. permitting non-standard base-pairing at the 3rd anti-codon position. Lineage: Eukaryota; Metazoa; Platyhelminthes; Trematoda; Plagiorchiida; Echinostomatidae. The record is from Rfam by way of RNAcentral.